Long non-coding RNA from Tyto alba (common barn owl), 461 nucleotides. RefSeq lists it as uncharacterized. Lineage: Eukaryota; Metazoa; Chordata; Aves; Strigiformes; Tytonidae. The record is from RefSeq and is a predicted model, not a curated record. The transcript is spliced from 4 exons.
GGUCGCUAGCCGGGAACGGGAUGGAUAUUGGUUAGCGGGUGGUAUUUGAACAGAAAAGGCAACAAGAAAGGCUGUAUUUUGACUAUUCAAGACAAAUAAAUGCUGGUGAAGUAUGGACUAGGCCAUAAGUUUGUGCUGCUGGACAUAUUCCAAGAAUAUCAGACCCACCAGUAGGCCUAUACCUCCUGCAGAUGUGUGAUCUCAAUCGUGUACUGUCAUCUUUCAGGUUUUACAGGUUGUGUGCUGAUUGAACACUGCUGGUAGCAAAUUCUGCUGACAGAAGCAGAGGAACAAGGAUCAGUUGACUUCACUAGAGUGAUUCUUUCUGAACUGGGGAAUUUUUUGUCCUCAUAUUCCAAAUAACUUGAAAUAAUUAGAAGUUCCAAAUUUCUAAUUCCAGAUUCAACUCUUCCCUGUUUUUUUCAGAAACUGGAAGUAAAGAAAACGGAAAUAUUGACCUA